Nematostella vectensis (starlet sea anemone) is the source of this 1813-nucleotide ribosomal RNA. The record is from RefSeq and is a predicted model, not a curated record. Lineage: Eukaryota; Metazoa; Cnidaria; Anthozoa; Actiniaria; Edwardsiidae.
AUUCUGGUUGAUCCUGCCAGUAGUCAUAUGCUUGUCUCAAAGAUUAAGCCAUGCAUGCCUAAGUACAAAUUCCUUGAAAAGUGAAACUGCGAAUGGCUCAUUAAAUCAGCUAUAAACUAUCGGGUGCACAGUUAUUCUACAUGGAUAACUGUGGUAAUUCUAGAGCUAAUACAUGCCUCAGUUAUUAGGCCUUCACGGGCCUAAUGCAAUUAUUAGACCAAAAUCAACCGCUCUCGGGCGUUGACUUGGUGACUCUGGAUAAUAUUACUAGAUCGUACGACCUCGUGUCGACGACUCACCCGAUUUGUAUCUGCCCUAUCAACUUUAGAUGGUAGGUUAAUAGCCUACCAUGGUGAUAACGGGUAACGGGGAAUCAGGGUUCGAUUCCGGAGAAGGAGCCUGAGAAAUAGCUACUACAUCCAAGGAAGGCAGCAGGCGCGCAAAUUACCCACUCCUGACACAGGGAGGUAGUGACAAUAAAUAACGAUGCGGGACUCAAUCGAGGCCCCGUAAUCGGAAUGAGUACACUUUAAAUCCUUUAACGAGGAUCAAUUGGAGGGCAAGUCUGGUGCCAGCAGCCGCGGUAAUUCCAGCUCCAAUAGCGUAUAUUAAAGUUGUUGCAGUUAAAAAGCUCGUAGUUGGAUCUUAGGAUUUGGGUGGGCGGUUCACCUUUGGUGAUACUGUCUGCCCUGCCUAUUUUAGUCGUGGACAGUUUGGGUGCUCUUAAUUGGGUGCUCUUUCUGCACGGCGCAAUUACUUUGAGAAAAUUAGAGUGCUUAAUGCAGGCAUAUGCCUGAAUACUGUUGCAUGGAAUAAUGAAAUAGGAGUUUACUUCUAUUUUGUUGGUUUUCGGAAUAAACUAAUGAUUAACAGGGACAGACGGGGGCAUUAGUAUGUACGGGUUAGAGGUGAAAUUCUUGGAUCCUGUACAGACUACCUACUGCGAAAGCAUUUGCCAGGAAUGUUUUCACUAAUCAAGAACGAAAGUCAGAGGUUCGAAGACGAUCAGAUACCGUCCUAGUUCUGACCAUAAAUGAUGCCAUCUUGUAAUCCCAGGAGCCUGCUUGUACGGGCGCUGGGGCGGCCCCCGGGAAACCAAAGAUUUUGGGUUCCGGGGGAAGUAUGGUUGCAAAGCUGAAACUUAAAGGAAUUGACGGAAGGGCACCACCAGGAGUGGAGCCUGCGGCUUAAUUUGACUCAACACGGGAAAUCUCACCCGGCCCGGACACUUUGAGGAUUGACAGAUUGACAGCUCUUUCUUGAUUAGGUGAUUGGUGGUGCAUGGCCGUUCUUAGUUGGUGGAGUGAUUUGUCUGGUUAAUUCCGAUAACGAACGAGACUCUAGCUUACUAAAUAGAACUCACGUACCUCAGGCGUGAGGAAACUUCUUAGAGGAACUAACGACGUAUAGUCGUAUGAAAAAGAGCAAUAACAGGUCUGUGAUGCCCUUAGAUGUUCGGGGCCGCACGCGCGCUACACUGAAUACAGCAAUUAGUGUGAUCCUGGCCGGACACGGCUGGGUAACCUGAGUCAAUUGUAAGCGUGACAGGGAUCAGGGUUUGCAAUUAUUCCCUGUGAACGAGGAAUUCCGAGUAAGCACAAGUCAUCAGCUUGUGCUGAUUACGUCCCUGCCCUUUGUACACACCGCCCGUCGCUACUACCGAUUGAAUGUUUUAGUGAGGUCUUCGGACUGGAGCUGACGGAGAGGCCUUUGGCUGAUCUGUUAGUUUCGGGAAGAUGAUCAAACUUGAGCAUUUAGAGGAAGUAAAAGUCGUAACAAGGUUACUGUAGGUGAACCUGCAGUAGGAUCAUUA